GCCUAAAUUUACUAGUCGGUACAGUGAAGUAAUAUCUAGUACCGAUAGAUGGCGAAACAUAUGUUACCAGUCGGUAAUAAAAUACAGAUAACUCACACACUAUAUGUUUUUAUUAAUUGAUUAAAAAUAAAUGCAACCCACAAAUCAAUUUUUACAUGAUAAAAAUUAUUUUUAGUCAGAACAGCUGCAUUCUAUUCACAUAAUAAUUCACAUGGAAUUCUUUGCAAGGAAGAUAUUAAUU
This is a long non-coding RNA of Polistes dominula (European paper wasp), 241 nucleotides long. The record is from RefSeq and is a predicted model, not a curated record. Lineage: Eukaryota; Metazoa; Arthropoda; Insecta; Hymenoptera; Vespidae.